RNAcentral lists this long non-coding RNA (1191 nucleotides) under Monodelphis domestica (gray short-tailed opossum). RNAcentral's name for it is "lncRNA (ENSMODG00000047807.1)". Lineage: Eukaryota; Metazoa; Chordata; Mammalia; Didelphimorphia; Didelphidae. The record is from RNAcentral.
AUGGGGCUGUUUUCGGUAAAAAAGCAGCGCUCUCCUGGUUCUGACUGCAGCGUCCACGCACACAGUUUAACCCUUGGGUCAUCGUGUUUGUAUUUCGCUUAUUGGACUGCUAAUAGAUUUUCUUCCUUCGCGCGAGACACCGUGAAGGAUGUGCUGAGGCUCCCUAUUACUCCGGCGGGCGGGCGGGCGGGCGGCCGGUCCACCUGUAGGAGGGAGGACGCGGGAAGAGGCGCCCGGCUCCUACCUUUUGACAACAGCCCAGCUGUAGACGAGCAGUCCCAACCCUCCAGUGGCAGUUUUAAUUAUCGGCCCGCCGAUACCAUCAGCUGCUUGGAGAAGACCUUGGAGACAUCAGCAGAGAACAGCCUGACGGGGAGGAAGGAGCAGCGGAGGGAGGACUCCAGCCCACUGAAGCAAGUAGUGCGCAGUCCAAUGAUGGCACCAGAGGACGGGAGGGACGGCUCCUCAAGGGAACCAGCAGCAACGUGGGAGGUGGUGAUUCUUGAAGGGAUACCACCUAAAGCAUGUGAGGUGACCAGGCUGGGCAUGUUUCCUGGGCACACGCAUGACCCUCCGUUCAUGUUCCCUGGCUAUACAUGUUCUGGUGUCCACCUGUGGGAGAGGCGGUGGGGAAGGGAAGACCUAUCUUGCAAUUACAUUGUUAUGCUGCCUAAUUAAAUAGCAGCACGAAUGUGCUCUCUGGUUGGCUGGCAGAAGAACCACAUCAUCUUCUGGGUGGCAUUUAUAUAGCACCUUAAGGUUUACAAAUUACUUUACAUAGAUUAUCUCCUUUGAGAUCCCAGGAAUCCAGGAAUAUUAUUAUCCUCUCUUUAGAUGAAGAAAUUGAGUUUGAGAAACUGACUCACCCAGAGCCCAUAGUUAAAUAAGUGUCCGAGGCAGGAUUUGAACCUGGGUCUUCCUGAGUCCAGGUCCAAUGCUCUAUGUUCCAGGUCUAGCACUGUCACCAUGAGUGGGUGUUCAUGACCCACAGUUUUGAGUGGAUACUAAUGCACAGUGUACCUCAAAGCUAUGGUUGCUUUCAGAUGGUACCAUGGUGGAAGGGGUCUGGGGGAAUCACAUGCUUGUCCCUCUAAAGGUGAUAUCUCUAUAAAAGAGAUUUUAACUGAGACUCAAAAAAAGCCAGGAAACAGAGAUAAUAAAUAUUAAUUAAAACUAAAAAUAAUACUAAAU